Molecule: long non-coding RNA, 1465 nt
Filed under: Equus caballus (horse)
Lineage: Eukaryota; Metazoa; Chordata; Mammalia; Perissodactyla; Equidae
Description: lncRNA (ENSECAG00000046708.1)
Source: RNAcentral
UAUCAGAUAAUAGCAAUUGCUCUUUGUCUUUUAGGAUUGGACAUUUGCCGUUGGUGGUGAUUUCUUGUGGAUUUCAAGGUCCAUGUUAUGCACUUGAUCGCAAUUCUGAAAAGGAAGCGUCAUAUAGUCAUUUUGCACUGGGAUCUUCAAAUUACCUUCGUGGUCCUGCCAAGAGGAAAAAUUGUCUCUAGAGAUACUCGGCUGAGUUACAGAGGUUCUCCAAGGCUGAGUGACUGUGGUUUCCACUGUAAGAUCUGAUCUACAGAGAAGAGCAAUUAUGAAGCUCUUUAAGGAUGCUGGGGAUCCCCUCACAAAUUUAUUUCUCAAAGUAUCAGUGAAAGGUGUGUCUUCUGGACCCUCCCAGUGAGGAGAGGAACUGGAGACACAGUCACACGGGGAAGAAGCCCAUGUGACUAUGGAGCUAGAGAUUGGAGUGAUGCAUCUAUCAGCCCAUGGAUGUCAACGAUUGCCAAAAACAACCAGAAGCCAGGAAGGAAGUCAUGUUCCUCAGAAGGAACAUGACACUGCUGACAUCUUAAUUCUGGACUUCUAGCUUCCACGACUGUGAGAUAAUAAAUUUCUGUUGCUUUAGCCACCUAGUUUGUGGUAAUUUGUUACAGAAACCCUAAGAAACUAAUACAAUAUGUUAUGCUGAGUUGUUUUAUUUCAUAUUUUCCUGUAGUUGGAAAUUACUUAUUAUUAAUAUGAUUUGUCCUAUGUAUCAUGAGUUGGCACUUCAACUCUGUAAUUAAAGAAGCAAAUAUUAUGGUAUACAAGUAGGAGUGUAGAAUUUAGGAACCAUGACAUAAUAGAUCUGAUAAAUUUUUAAGAGAUCUUUAUCUAACUUUGGUCUCCUCCAUUAAGAGGACAUGGAAAAUUCAGACACUUUAGAGCAGUAAAAAGGCAAAUGGUUUGAAAAAUAAGGCACUCUAGUCACAGUACCUAAAAGCUGAAAGGGACUUCAGUGAUUGUCCAUUCCAGGGCUGGCAUCUUCACAGUACAUGUGCUGCCCCUUCCACAGCAGACAUUGCUUUUCAAACACGGUGCUGUUCAGCCCUGAGCCCAGACUCAGAUGCACAAUCACCCUCUACACAGUGCACCACAUGGUUAUAACCAAACAAUCAGAGCUGGCCCCAAAUAAAGCUUCUUCACCACUGGGGUCCAAUCAAAUCUUUUUAUUUACAGCUGAAAAAAACUGAAGCCCAGGGAGAGAAAAGGAGUUAAUCAUAAGACCCAGAGUAAGUUAAGGUCUGGAUAUUUAUCCCCAUUUCAGUCUUGUGCGUGUCUAUUUCACCACAAUGUCUACUCCUCAGCAGAAAGCAAAGGAUUAAAAUCUUUUUGUUGCUGUUAUUGGAGAAAAUAUACUGGGGGAAUCAAAAUCUAAUUUCAAAAUCUAAAACUGAUUCCACGUAACUCCUUCAUAGUAUGUCUGGGAGUACCAUAGGCAUAUUAAAUCAUUUAGGAC